CGCCGCCGCUCCGUCGGGCGCCCCGGCGGCAAAGAGGCCGCGCAAGGAGGAUCGUCCUAUGGCC
This 64-nucleotide transfer RNA is filed under the name Durinskia baltica. RNAcentral describes it as "partial Selenocysteine transfer RNA". The record is from RNAcentral. Lineage: Eukaryota; Dinophyceae; Peridiniales; Kryptoperidiniaceae.